CCUGCCCAGUGGCUAAAGCUAAACGGCCGCGGUAUCUUGACCGUGCAAAGGUAGCAUAAUCAUUUGUCUUUUAAAUGGAGACUUGUAUGAAUGGCGGAACCUUCUUCAACUGUCUCCCUUUCCACUCUCCCAAAUUUCUAUUUCUGUGAAGAAGCAGAAAUAAAAGAGAAAGACGAGAAGACCCUGUCGAGCUUCAGCUUAAAGGUGAAAAACUAAACAUCAUCCAAAAGCUUUGGUUGGGGCAACCAUGGAGAAAACACAUCCUCCAGAAAAAAUAGAAGAAAACCCUUCACUAUUUUCAACCUCAAAGAACCAGAAACUGGUAAUCGGAAAAAGUUACCGCAGGGAUAACAGCGUAAUCUUCUCUAAGAGUCCUUAUUGACGAGAAGGUUUGCGACCUCGAUGUUGGAUUGGGGCCUCCUUUGGGUGCAGAAGCUCUAAAAGGUUAGACUGUUCGUCUAUUAAAGCCCUACGUGAUC
This 479-nucleotide ribosomal RNA is filed under the name Holothuria scabra. RNAcentral describes it as "partial 16S ribosomal RNA". It matches the Rfam family "Bacterial large subunit ribosomal RNA", at positions 1858 to 2605 of the family's 2925-position model. Lineage: Eukaryota; Metazoa; Echinodermata; Holothuroidea; Aspidochirotida; Holothuriidae. The record is from RNAcentral.